CACGUAGGGUGCGAGCGUUGUCCGGAAUUAUUGGGCGUAAAGAGCUCGUAGGCGGUCCGUCACGUCGGAUGUGAAAUUCCAGGGCUCAACCCUGGACCUGCAUUCGAUACGGGCGGACUAGAGUUCGGUAGGGGAGACUGGAAUUCCUGGUGUAGCGGUGAAAUGCGCAGAUAUCAGGAGGAACACCAGCGGCGAAGGCGGCGCUCUGGGCUGGAACUGACGCUGAGGAGCGAAAGCGUGGGGAGCGAACAGG
RNAcentral lists this ribosomal RNA (253 nucleotides) under uncultured bacterium. RNAcentral's name for it is "partial 16S ribosomal RNA". It matches the Rfam family "Bacterial small subunit ribosomal RNA", at positions 524 to 776 of the family's 1533-position model. The record is from RNAcentral.